AGCGAACGCUGGCGGCAGGCCUAACACAUGCAAGUCGAACGGAUCCUUCGGGAUUAGUGGCGGACGGGUGAGUAACACGUGGGAACGUGCCUUUUGGUUCGGAACAACUCAGGGAAACUUGAGCUAAUACCGGAUGUGCCCUUCGGGGAAGGAUUUAUCGCCAUUAGAGCGGCCCGCGUCUGAUUAGCCAGUUGGUGGGGUAAAGGCCUACCAAGGCAACGAUCAGUAGCUGGUCUGGGAGGANGAUCAGCCACAUUGGGACUGAGACACGGCCCAAACUCCUACGGGAGGCAGCAGUGGGGAAUCUUGCGCAAUGGGCGAAAGCCUGACGCAGCCAUGCCGCGUGAAUGAUGAAGGU
Molecule: ribosomal RNA, 358 nt
Filed under: uncultured bacterium
Lineage: Bacteria
Description: bacterial SSU rRNA
Rfam family: Bacterial small subunit ribosomal RNA
Source: RNAcentral